UUUUAUGUCUUUUUUAAUGGCGGUUUGUGCUCUGGCGUGCAGUGGUGGAGGACGCUGGUUUUUCUGGACCGGCGCUUGUCCGUGGUGGCUGCACAUGGGAAUCAUCGAGGGCACUCUUAAGAGCAGAGAUACCCAGGCCCAACCCCCAGGUCAGAUUUUGGUGGUCUGGGGCGUGGCCAGGAGUUGUAGAUUUUAAAGGCUCCCCAAGAGAUUCUGAUAUGCAGCCAACUCGAUAGGUAGAUUCAAAGUGUGGUAUCACUUCAUUACUUUAAUUAGAAUUUUCUCUUGCGAUUGUUUCAGGCGUUCAGAUUUGGGAGACGUGGCCCCAGAAAUAAAAGCAUCUGAGAGACGAACAGCGGUGGCCAUUGCAGAUUUGGAAUGGAGAGACAUGGACGCAGAUGACUAUGGUACAAAUGAGGCUCAGGACAGUGACUUCCCAGCAGGUACGCAUUUUCUCCGCUCCCUGUCCCGACGCAGGAGGACCCGAGUAUGUGAGAGGUCCCUCUUGCCCCUGGUCCUGCGCACCCAGCCCCCCCCCCCCCGAGAAGACGGAGACUAGCAUCUGCGCAGGGGCAAGCGCAGGACUCUUAUUUGCAACCAGUUCCCAAAGCGGUUCUGAAAGCUCAGGUGGCAUUGGGAAGCCCUCAGCUGUUCCCCGUGUCGCUCCCACCAUGGGCCACACACUAGGCAGGAGUGCAGGUGAGGUUUCUUGGUCGGGCUUUUCCCCAGCGCCUCUCACUGUCUGCUGUUUAAAGGACGAAACCAGUUGUUCAUGUCUAGGUAAGAGAAUCCACGUCCCUCUUCAUUCAGGCAACACCUGGAAACCCGAGCAGCAGUACGAAGGGUUUCAGCCCUGCGUGCCCCCCCUGUAGCUCUUUUGUUUCUGCAGCAAGUUCUGAAGCCCCACCCUGUGCCUGGCAGUGUCCACUGCCUGCAGGGCCCUCGGGGGAGGAGACGCCUGUGCCCAAGGGCUGAGCCCUGCGGGGGGCGGGGGGGGGGCACCUCUGACUGCCCGGAAACCUGUGCCCCAGGGUUGGGCCCUGCCUGGGGUUGUCCCCUGACUGCCCGGGCACCUGCGCUCCAGGGCCCGGUCCUGCUGGGGGGCCAUCCCCUAACUGCUCUCUGGUUUAUGUGAACAAGUAUGCAGCUUCAUGAUGGAGAAGAUCCUGGAACUCAGUGGGAUUUGCAUUUUAAAAUUUUGUUCAUGUAGCUCACACUGAAAGCAUACUAAUUGUAUGCAGUAUGACAGUUGGUGAGACGCCACGGCCGAGAACAGGGUUAGCGGGUGAAACCUAGCGCUUGUAAGAAUUCAUAUUGCGUUGGGCAAUGCUGGAAGGUCUGAACAAGUACAGACCUCUGAUCAUCUCUACCAAGUAUGUUGCCAUGGUGACACUGAAAACCACGUGAUUGGCUUCAGAUUUGCAAAAUGGUUGUGUGACUGUAUUUAGUAGUAACAUCCUGUUCCCUUUAAAAAUUCUCCCAACUUGUUAAAAAGAAGAGAACGUUACCUAGAAAAUCCGACUGACCUCGGGGAUUGUGUCCCCUGUGGGACAUACCUGGUGAUGGCAUGAGGGCACCUGCUGCUGGGCCCAGGAUGUGGGGACAGGCCACAGGGUCACGUGGAGGGGUGGGUGUCCCCAGUGCGGGUGCACGGCUGUGCACUCUACACGGUUACAGUGGGCCCAACAUAGCUGUGUCUCGUGGAUUUCAAGAGAAACUGACGUGUAGACCUUUUCACGGCAUCUCCCAAUCCUUAAACGUGGCCCCUGGGUAUCCUCUUCUUUCUCCUUUCUAACGUCUCGCGUGUCUGCUGUGUUGGCCCCUGUUGGUUGCAGGCAGGCCGGGGGCACCCACACCCCGCUUU
RNA transcript from Ailuropoda melanoleuca (giant panda), 1864 nucleotides. RefSeq lists it as uncharacterized. The record is from RefSeq and is a predicted model, not a curated record. Lineage: Eukaryota; Metazoa; Chordata; Mammalia; Carnivora; Ursidae. The transcript has 3 exons.